AUCUAUCUAUCUAUCUAUCUAUCUAUCUAUCUAUCUAUCUAGAUAUAUAGAUAGAUAGAUAGAUAGAUAGAUAGAUAGAU
This 80-nucleotide microRNA precursor is filed under the name Paramuricea clavata. The record is from RNAcentral. Lineage: Eukaryota; Metazoa; Cnidaria; Anthozoa; Malacalcyonacea; Plexauridae.